GACGAACGCUGGCGGCGUGCUUAACACAUGCAAGUCGAACGGUAAGGCCCUUCGGGGUACACGAGUGGCGAACGGGUGAGUAACACGUGGGUGAUCUGCCCUGCACUUCGGGAUAAGCCUGGGAAACUGGGUCUAAUACCGGAUAGGACCCUGGGAUGCAUGUCCUGGGGUGGAAAGCUUUUGCGGUGUGGGAUGGGCCCGCGGCCUAUCAGCUUGUUGGGGGGGUGAUGGCCUACCAAGGCGACGACUGGUAGCCGGCCUGAGAGGGGGACCGGCCACACUGGGACUGAGAUACGGCCCAGACUCCUACGGGAGGCAGCAGUGGGGAAUAUUGCACAAUGGGCGCAAGCCUGAUGCAGCGACGCCGCGUGAGGGAUGACGGCCUUCGGGUUGUAAACCUCUUUCAGCACCGACGAAGCGCAAGUGACGGUAGGUGCAGAAGAAGGACCGGCCAACUACGUGCCAGCAGCCGCCGCCG
This 478-nucleotide ribosomal RNA is filed under the name uncultured bacterium. RNAcentral's name for it is "partial 16S ribosomal RNA". It matches the Rfam family "Bacterial small subunit ribosomal RNA", at positions 28 to 523 of the family's 1533-position model. The record is from RNAcentral.